AAUACACACACGCACAGCCCACUGAAUACACACACUGCUGAGUACACACAGACUGCUGAAUACACGCACACACACAGACUGCUGAAUACACACAUACUGCAUUGAGGGGUGUAGUGUAUGUGUUUGUGUGUGGGGUGCUGUGUGUGAGGGGUGGUGUGUGUGUGUAUGAGGGGUGCUGUGUGUGUGUGACGGGUGUUGUGUGUGUGUGUGUGUGUGUG
Pelobates cultripes (western spadefoot toad) is the source of this 218-nucleotide non-coding RNA. The record is from the annotation of a GenBank genome assembly. NCBI's taxonomy places the organism in Eukaryota, Metazoa, Chordata, Amphibia, Anura, Pelobatidae.